UUUUAGUCUCUGAGGUAUAGCGUAAUUAACGGAUUCGUCCCUCUAUUUUUAGAACCCAACGCUUUCGUCCCUGAGGUUUAAUUCCGUCAAAAUUAGAGGUCCCUCCGUCAAAAAUGCCGUUAGUGAUAGGAAAAAUGACCGAAUUACCCUUUCUAGAACUCAAUACUUUAGUCUCUGAAAUUUAAUUCCUACAAAUUUAUAGGUCCCUCUCUCAAAGAAUUGAAGGAAAAAAUACAUUUU
This 240-nucleotide long non-coding RNA is filed under the name Manihot esculenta (cassava). RNAcentral's name for it is "long non-coding RNA (MESC_LNC012055)". The record is from RNAcentral. Lineage: Eukaryota; Viridiplantae; Streptophyta; Magnoliopsida; Malpighiales; Euphorbiaceae.